This 73-nucleotide microRNA precursor is filed under the name Pongo abelii (Sumatran orangutan). Its description in RNAcentral is "miRNA". The record is from RNAcentral. Lineage: Eukaryota; Metazoa; Chordata; Mammalia; Primates; Hominidae.
AUCUAUAUCUAUAUCUAUAUCUAUAUCUAUAUCUAUAUAUGGAGAUAGAUAUAGAUAUAAAACAAGCAAAGAA